UACGUAGGGACCAAGCGUUGUUCGGAUUUACUGGGCGUAAAGGGCGCGUAGGCGGCUUGACAAGUCACUGGUGAAAUCUCCGGGCUUAACUCGGAACGGCCAAGUGAAACUGUCAUGCUAGAGUGCAGAAGGGGCAAUCGGAAUUCUGGGUGUAGCGGUGAAAUGCGUAGAUAUCAGGAGGAACACCGGUGGCGAAGGCGGGUCUCUGGGCCGAUACUGACGCUGAGGAGCGAAAGCGUGGGGAGCGAACAGG
This 253-nucleotide ribosomal RNA is filed under the name uncultured bacterium. RNAcentral's name for it is "partial 16S ribosomal RNA". It matches the Rfam family "Bacterial small subunit ribosomal RNA", at positions 524 to 776 of the family's 1533-position model. The record is from RNAcentral.